Pezoporus flaviventris is the source of this 1931-nucleotide long non-coding RNA. RefSeq lists it as uncharacterized. The transcript has 4 exons. Lineage: Eukaryota; Metazoa; Chordata; Aves; Psittaciformes; Psittacidae. The record is from RefSeq and is a predicted model, not a curated record.
UAGAGCUGCAGUGAGCUGUUUGCCAGAAAGAUUCAAACUCUGCCCGGCGUGACCUCUGUUAGCUCGUGUGGAGAGUGGGGGCUUAUCUCCUCGGCUUCUUGUCCUUUAGGGUUCAUACCUGUGGGCUCAGGUCACCCUCUUCUCAUUAGCUUAGAAAAAUUAUAUCACUUCAUUAGAGGUGUUUGUUCAGCUUCUGAGUGUCCUCAGGCGUUUGGAUGCUUUGCUGGAGAUCUCCACUGGGUCCACUCCAUCAUAAUGAAGCUUCAACACAGGCCUCCACAGAGCUCCAAGAGAGAAAUCCAGGAAGGAGAAAGUGAAGGGAGAUUGGCCAACCUGACUUCAAAACAGAGUAAGCAGACUUGAUCUCACCAUGUCUUGGCUAUCCUGGGGAUUGCAAUUGCACUGAGCCCAGAAUAGAUGUGCAUGGAAAUUGCACAUUUUCAACUGAUGGCUGCACAAGAUCAGAAGCCGUGGCAAUGCUGACACUUUUGGCCUGGAACUUGGCAGGGCUGUGAAAAACUGUGGAGCUGCUGUUGCAAAUGGCUCAUUUUCUGACUUAGAGGGGAAGAACUUGUAGUUUCAGAUGUACCACUUCUGCAGAUCAGUGAAAAGGGGGGAGACUUUGGUAUCAGUCCACUAGCUUAUCUCUCGCAAGCUGAGAGAAGUUAAUAUAAAGCAUUGUAAUCUCUUUCACAGCCUCCAGGACUCAUAAGAAACCAUAAGAAGAAGUUUCUCAAGCUUAAAGUGUUCUAUAGGAUACUAAAUCUUAAGUCUCCUGGAGGCCACUGGGGAAAUGAAAAGGUGUAGUUGUCACAUUUUGUCAAAGUAUAACAUCUAUAUAAUAAGCCAGUUAGCUCCCUUUCUUCAGACCCAGCCCAGCUUGACGUACUAGGGCCAUGUUCUUUGUUUUCCAGUUUUAUUGAUAUGGUGUGUUGUUUUUUUUUUUUGUUUUUUUUUUUAUCAAAGCAAAAUAAAGCUCACCUUGGGCCAGAUCCUCAGAUGUUUUAAAUUGGUGUUGCUCCGCUCUCACUGAUGAGACUGAUUUAUUUCAGCUGGGAACCUAGAUCCUGACUUACAUUCUCAUUCUCUGUUCUCUUUGAUACCUCUGGUCUUUUAGCUUCAAUUUCUACCCUAUUUUCUUCUGUUUAUUUAUAUCAAAACCAGCAAAAAAUGUUAUGUUUUCAUCCUCAACACUUAGCAAAUGUGCCUUGGUUAUAAGCUGGACAAGCAAAUGGAUGAUUGAAAGAGUUUGGUUUGCUUUGCAAAUCAGAUUUUGGCUUCUACAGAGAGGAAAGAGACUCUUCUUAAGAUGGGACCUCUGAAGAAGGAGUACAACCAAGAAAGGACAUCCUCUCAGCGAAUUAAGCUCUGUACAAGGCCUGACAUUUGACACUCGGGACCCCAGGACUUACACAGAGGCACAAGCUGAGGCCCUAGGGAGGAGGUAGGGAACUGGAGGGGGGGUGGAAAUCACAACAGGAGAGACUUUUUCACCCCCUUUUCUAUUUUUUUAAUUUAUUUUUUUUUAAAGAAGCUACAAAACAAAUUGUAAAUGUAAUAGGAAUUGAUUUAAGAGAAGAACAUCGCAUCAAGUUCUGUUCCCUGCAUUGCUCAGUUCAUGCUGACAAGGCUGAUCUGAAGAGGUGGGAGAAGAAAGGCAGGCUGAGAGGGCUUUAGGGAAGCAAGAAGAGGCUCAUACCCUUCUUUCUACAUACCCUAAGGUUACCAACUUGACCGAAGUUUUAUUCCAUUUUAGCACAGUUAACCUUCACUUCAGAACUUCCCAUUCAAGACAAGCAGACUGAAUAGCUCCCUGAGGCUCAUGAACCUGUUGGAAGCCAGCAUGGGCCUCAACCAGGUUGCCUAGACUAAAUAUCAGCAAACCUAGUUAUGAAAGCAAGUGAAUGCGUGGCAGUUCUGGGAACAGUAUG